This 447-nucleotide ribosomal RNA is filed under the name uncultured bacterium. RNAcentral describes it as "bacterial SSU rRNA". It matches the Rfam family "Bacterial small subunit ribosomal RNA", at positions 329 to 792 of the family's 1533-position model. The record is from RNAcentral.
UGCCAGACUCCUACGGGAGGCAGCAGUGGGGGAUAUUGCACAAUGGGGGAAACCCUGAUGCAGCGACGCCGCGUGGGUGAAGAAGUAUUUCGGUAUGUAAAGCCCUAUCAGCGGGGAAGAAAGAAGACGGUACCUGACUAAGAAGCCCCGGCUAACUACGUGCCAGCAGCCGCGGUAAUACGUAGGGGGCGAGCGUUAUCCGGAUUCACUGGGUGUAAAGGGAGCGUAGACGGCCGUGCAAGCCAGGAGUGAAAGGCCGGGGCCCAACCCCGGGACUGCUCUGGAAACUGCGGCGCUGGAGUACGGGAGGGGCAGGCGGAAUUCCUGGUGUAGCGGUGAAAUGCGUAGAUAUCAGGAGGAACACCGGCGGCGAAGGCGGCCUGCUGGACCGUGACUGACGUUGAGGCUCGAGAGCGUGGGGAGCAAACAGGAUUAGAUACCCGCGUA